AUGAGCGUCCGCCGCCCUCUCCGGCGCACCCGCUCCUUUGGGGACGCCGACGCCGUCUUCGACCUGUCCUGCGUCGCCCCCGAGCCUGCGCCUGCCCCCGCACCGGCUCCUGCUGCUCCGGCGCCCAUCCGCGCCCCGAUCCUCCGCGCGCGCGCUCCAGCGCCCCUGCGCGCCCCUGCUGCUCCCGGCCGUGCGCUCGCCCUGGCAGCGCUGGCCGCCCAGGUCCCCGUCGCUUCUCCUCCAUCCAUGCAUCACAUUAAUAUCUCGUCCUUCAUCCCCUUCAAGCUCAGCCUGGACGCCAACAAUUGCUCGAAAUGGCGCCAGCUCUUCGCCUUUGUACUAACCAAGUACCAGGUCGAGGAUCACGUCGAGGAAGCCGUUGACCCCCUGCAUGCUGAUGCCGUCUGGAGGAACGAUGACAUUACCAUCGUACUCUGGAUCUACGCCACGAUCUCCGAUGAACUCUACGACGUGGUCCAGUCGCCGAACAACACCGCGUACCACCUCUGGCGCGAGCUGGAGGUCUUCUUCCGCGACAACGCCGCCGGCCGCACCGUCCACAUCGGGGCGGAGUUCCGGGCUACGGUACAGGGCGAUCUGAGCAUCGCCCAGUACUGCCGUCGCCUGAAGCAGCUCUCCGACGCCAUGGCCGACGUGGGCGAGCCCGUCACCGACCGCUCCCUCACGCUGCAGCUUGUGCGGGGCCUCAGCCGCCGCUUCCACGUCAUGGCUACCUUGCUUCCCAUGCAGGUGCCGUUUCCCACGUUCAACCAGGCGCGCUCCCGUCUCCUGCUGGAGGAGAUCUCGCUGGGUGAGCGGGAACGCACCGAGGGGGCCGGGGCUCUCUCCAUCGGGCACGGCGGCGGCUCGUCGUCUGGCAACUCCGAGCGCGGUGGCGACCGCGGUGAGCGCCAGCCUCCUCCGUCCCCAACUGACAAGGGCAAGGGGGCGGCCACUCCACCCUCCGGCGACCGCCAGCGUGGCGGGCGCGGACGUGGGCGCGGCUCCAACACCUCAUCGCCUGCUCCACUCGGGCGCGGCCAACAGCCGUGGCUCGGGUACUUCGCGCCGUGGGGCUCCCCGGCGCCCUCCCCACAGCAAUGGCGGGCGCCUUGGAUGCCGCCCAACUCCGCCGGGGUCCUCGGCCCACGCCCGGAGCUCCGCACCAAGCCUACCCCGUCGGCGUGCCGUCCUCGUCGUCCCCGCCUCCAUGGGACCAGCAGCAGGCCAUGA
Molecule: ribosomal RNA, 1233 nt
Filed under: Triticum aestivum (bread wheat)
Lineage: Eukaryota; Viridiplantae; Streptophyta; Magnoliopsida; Poales; Poaceae
Description: partial small subunit ribosomal RNA
Source: RNAcentral